RNAcentral lists this ribosomal RNA (532 nucleotides) under uncultured archaeon. RNAcentral's name for it is "bacterial SSU rRNA". It matches the Rfam family "Archaeal small subunit ribosomal RNA", at positions 465 to 997 of the family's 1478-position model. The record is from RNAcentral.
CCGCGGGAACACCGGCAGCUCUAGUGGUAACAAUUUUAUUGGGCCUAAAGCGUCCGUAGCCGGUUUAAUAAGUCUCUGGUGAGAUCCUGCAGCUUAACUGUGGGAAUUGCUGGAGAUACUAUUAGACUUGAGACCGGGAGAGGUUAGAGGUACUCCCAGGGUAGAGGUGAAAUUCUGUAAUCCUGGGAGGACCGCCUGUUGCGAAGGCGUCUAACUGGAACGGUUCUGACGGUGAGGGACGAAAGUUAGGGGCGCGAACCGGAUUAGAUACCCGGGUAGUCCUAACUGUAAACGAUGCGGACUUGGUGUUGGGUGGCUUUGAGCUGCUUCAGUGCCGAAGGGAAGCUGUUAAGUCCGCCGCCUGGGAAGUACGGUCGCAGGACUGAAACUUAAAGGAAUUGGCGGGGGAGCACCACAACGCGUGGAGCCUGCCGGUUUAAUUGGAUUCAACGCCGGACAUCUCACCAGAGGCGACAGCUGUAUGAUAGCCAGGUUGAUGACUUUGCUUGACUAGCUGAGGAGUGGUGCAUGG